AAAUUAAUGAAUGUAGGUAAGUAAAUUUUUAAUAAUUAUACAUAUAAAGUUUGAUCCUUGCUCAUUGUUUCUUUGUUAGCUUAUUUUAUAUAUUUUAUAUUUUUCAAUAGUUAAUUAGUAGUGAAUUAAUUUAUUAAUAAGGUUAUUCUUGAUGUAGUAAUGUUAGUAAUCCUAAGUCAAUCCGUGCCAGCACUUGCGGUUAUACGUAUGGGGUAAAAGAAGUUUUUUGGUAAAAAGAAAUUAAUUUUUGAUUAGUUUAAGCUUGAGAUGGUUUAUUUUUAGGUAAAAUUAAGAAUAUUUUAAUUCUGGCUUUAAGAAUAUGAAAUGAAAGGUUUAAAAUUAAUUAUGUAAACCUGGAUUAGAUACCCAGUUAUUUUUAAUAUAGUUAAUUUACCAAGGUAGUAUAAGGGUUCUAGAAAUUUAAGGGAUUUGGCGGUAUUUUAUUCCAAUUAGAGGAACUUGCCCUAUAAUCGAUAUUACACGAAAAGUUAACUUUUCUUUGUUAUCAGUUUGUAUAUCGCUGUCGUCAGAAAACUUUAAUAGAUUGUGUUUUCUUUUUGUAUGAUCUUCAAGACGUCAAGUCAAGGUGCAGCACAUAGAAAAGGUUGAAAGGUGAGUUACAAUAAUAACAAUUAUUACGGAUUAGGUUAUGGAAAAUAACUAUAAAGGUGGAUUUAUUAGUAAAUUUUUAAUAGGUAGRAGAAUUGAUUAUUGGCUCUGAGAUAUGUACACAUCGCCCGUCACUCUCAUAUUUAGGUGAGAUAAGUCGUAACAUAGUAGGCGUAUUGGAAAAUGUGCCUGGAGAUAU
Molecule: non-coding RNA, 808 nt
Filed under: Macrolenostreptus orestes
Lineage: Eukaryota; Metazoa; Arthropoda; Diplopoda; Spirostreptida; Spirostreptidae
Source: RNAcentral